Molecule: ribosomal RNA, 1449 nt
Filed under: uncultured organism
Description: SSU rRNA
Rfam family: Bacterial small subunit ribosomal RNA
Source: RNAcentral
UGCAGGCUUAACACAUGCAAGUCGAGGGGCAGCAUGGUCUUAGCUUGCUAAGGCCGAUGGCGACCGGCGCACGGGUGAGUAACACGUAUCCAACCUGCCGUCUACUCUUGGACAGCCUUCUGAAAGGAAGAUUAAUACAAGAUGGCAUCAUGAGUCCACAUGUUCACAUGAUUAAAGGUAUUCCGGUAGACGAUGGGGAUGCGUUCCAUUAGAUAGUAGGCGGGGUAACGGCCCACCUAGUCUUCGAUGGAUAGGGGUUCUGAGAGGAAGGUCCCCCACAUUGGAACUGAGACACGGUCCAAACUCCUACGGGAGGCAGCAGUGAGGAAUAUUGGUCAAUGGGCGAGAGCCUGAACCAGCCAAGUAGCGUGAAGGAUGACUGCCCUAUGGGUUGUAAACUUCUUUUAUAAAGGAAUAAAGUCGGGUAUGGAUACCCGUUUGCAUGUACUUUAUGAAUAAGGAUCGGCUAACUCCGUGCCAGCAGCCGCGGUAAUACGGAGGAUCCGAGCGUUAUCCGGAUUUAUUGGGUUUAAAGGGAGCGUAGAUGGAUGUUUAAGUCAGUUGUGAAAGUUUGCGGCUCAACCGUAAAAUUGCAGUUGAUACUGGAUAUCUUGAGUGCAGUUGAGGCAGGCGGAAUUCGUGGUGUAGCGGUGAAAUGCUUAGAUAUCACGAAGAACUCCGAUUGCGAAGGCAGCCUGCUAAGCUGCAACUGACAUUGAGGCUCGAAAGUGUGGGUAUCAAACAGGAUUAGAUACCCUGGUAGUCCACACGGUAAACGAUGAAUACUCGCUGUUUGCGAUAUACAGCAAGCGGCCAAGCGAAAGCGUUAAGUAUUCCACCUGGGGAGUACGCCGGCAACGGUGAAACUCAAAGGAAUUGACGGGGGCCCGCACAAGCGGAGGAACAUGUGGUUUAAUUCGAUGAUACGCGAGGAACCUUACCCGGGCUUAAAUUGCAGAUGAAUUACGGUGAAAGCCGUAAGCCGCAAGACAUCUGUGAAGGUGCUGCAUGGUUGUCGUCAGCUCGUGCCGUGAGGUGUCGGCUUAAGUGCCAUAACGAGCGCAACCCUUGUUGUCAGUUACUAACAGGUUCCGCUGAGGACUCUGACAAGACUGCCAUCGUAAGAUGUGAGGAAGGUGGGGAUGACGUCAAAUCAGCACGGCCCUUACGUCCGGGGCUACACACGUGUUACAAUGGGGGGUACAGAGGGCCGCUACCACGCGAGUGGAUGCCAAUCCCAAAAACCUCUCUCAGUUCGGACUGGAGUCUGCAACCCGACUCCACGAAGCUGGAUUCGCUAGUAAUCGCGCAUCAGCCACGGCGCGGUGAAUACGUUCCCGGGCCUUGUACACACCGCCCGUCAAGCCAUGGGAGCCGGGGGUACCUGAAGUGCGUAACCGCGAGGAGCGCCCUAGGGUAAAACUGGUGACUGGGGCUAAGUCAUAACAA